CAAGAGGAAAUGUAAAGGUGUAGAGCU
RNAcentral lists this non-coding RNA (27 nucleotides) under Cricetulus griseus (Chinese hamster). Lineage: Eukaryota; Metazoa; Chordata; Mammalia; Rodentia; Cricetidae. The record is from RNAcentral.